AUCAGUGGCGAACGGGUGAGUAACACGUGAGUAACCUGCCCCAGACUCUGGGAUAACCCCGGGAAACCGGAGCUAAUACCGGAUAUGACACCAACCUGCAUGGGUAUGGUGUGGAAAGUUUUUCGGUCUGGGAUGGACUCGCGGCCUAUCAGCUUGUUGGUGAGGUAAUGGCUCACCAAGGCGACGACGGGUAGCCGGCCUGAGAGGGCGACCGGCCACACUGGGACUGAGACACGGCCCAGACUCCUACGGGAGGCAGCAGUGGGGAAUAUUGCACAAUGGGCGAAAGCCUGAUGCAGCGACGCCGCGUGAGGGAUGACGGCCUUCGGGUUGUAAACCUCUUUCAGCAGGGAAGAAGCGCAAGUGACGGUACCUGCAGAAGAAGCACCGGCUAACUACGUGCCAGCAGCCGCGGUAAUACGUAGGGUGCGAGCGUUGUCCGGAAUUAUUGGGCGUAAAGAGCUUGUAGGUGGUUUGUCGCGUCUGCUGUGAAAAUCCGAGGCUCAACCUCGGACUUGCAGUGGGUACGGGCAGACUAGAGUGUGGUAGGGGAGACUGGAAUUCCUGGUGUAGCGGUGGAAUGCGCAGAUAUCAGGAGGAACACCGAUGGCGAAGGCAGGUCUCUGGGCCAUUACUGACAC
RNAcentral lists this ribosomal RNA (641 nucleotides) under Terrabacter sp. I13A-01671. Its description in RNAcentral is "bacterial SSU rRNA". It matches the Rfam family "Bacterial small subunit ribosomal RNA", at positions 91 to 746 of the family's 1533-position model. Lineage: Bacteria; Bacillati; Actinomycetota; Actinomycetes; Micrococcales; Intrasporangiaceae. The record is from RNAcentral.